UCAGCGAAACUGUGACAAUGUUUUGCCAGUACCACUGGUGAUUAACAUGAGGAUGUAUCUGAUCAAGUUGAAAGUGAUGAUGAGCCUGAUGUUACAUCAGAGUCAAGGAUGUCAAGGAUGAGAGUGGUGUAGUGAAUAUUGUUAAUGAUGCAGAAACACCUGUUGAACAAAGUCUGCUAGAGAUUCACAAGUAUCAGCUGAUGAGGAAGUUGAACCUCAGAGGAAGAGAACCGUUUAAGGGGGGAGAGUGUAGUCCUGUGCUAUAUUUUCUUUUUAUUUUCUUCAUGUAAAAAUAUUUACAACGGUUAAAAAAUGUUUUCAAUACCCUAUGCCAAAAUGUAUUUUAUUUUUCAAUGGCCUGAAUUUAAUUUUUUGAUUUGAAUACUUCGUUUCUGUAAUUGUAUUGGUUAUUAUGAUGAUGUGACCUUUGAACCACAAACUGUGGUAACGGGAGCUGGAGGGUUGAGGAGUGGAGAAGAGAAGAGAAGAUGGACCAGAGCAGACGGCUAGUCUGAGCUAGCGGUAAAUAACUUUACAAUUACACUGUUAUUAUAUAUAUCUAGGCUAUAAGACGAGAUUUUAACGGAUUUAAGUUGUCGAACAGAUAACUUAAAACAUCAGUGACUGUGUUCUGGGACAGUUUAAUGAGUUUAAAGAACGUGAGUAGCCUGCCUCUUGACGCCUAGCCUGGGCGCCAUAUUAGCUCGUAGUGCUCGAGCCAGAGGCAGUCACCAUCGUCCUCGGUGCACACGGGAUGUUUAAAACUUUGCUGAGUUGCCGAGACAGGAGGAUUCCUUUACCUUUCGUUUGGAUAAGACGGAUGGAGAGAAAGCAGUGACGCAAGCGCGAACAGGUCGACACAAGGAGCGGGACUCUCCACUCUCCCAAUUUUCCAUUGCCUCAAGGGAGCGGGUCCUCUUCCACAGAGUCUGCCAUGUUGCACCGCCAUGUUUCUACAGUAGCCCUGAACGGACAAACCACUGGCUUGAGGUAGGGCUUUUCACAUUUUUAUGGAAUUUGAUGGCCGCAGUAGGUACUUGCACACGCUUGUAAAGGAAGGGGUAUUCAGCUGGUUUCAAUUCAGCAACCUCACCACUAGAUGUCACUACAAACUAC
This is a long non-coding RNA of Clupea harengus (Atlantic herring), 1116 nucleotides long. The record is from Ensembl. Lineage: Eukaryota; Metazoa; Chordata; Actinopteri; Clupeiformes; Clupeidae.